GCUUGUCUCAAAGAUUAAGCCAUGCAUGUCUAAGUAUAAGCCUUUACACGGUGAGACUGCGAAUGGCUCAUUAAAUCAGAAACUGUUUAUUUGAUAGUGCCUACUACUUGGAUAACCGUAGUAAUUCUAGAGCUAAUACAUGCAAAAAGCCUGGACUUCUGGAACAGGCGUAUUUAUUAGAUGGAAACCAAUGCGGGGCAACCCGGAUUCUGGUGAUUCAUAAUAAUUAUCGGAUCGAUCGUAUGAUCGAUGCAUCAUUCAAGUUUCUGCCCUAUCAGCUUUGGAUGGUAGGGUAUUGGCCUACCAUGGCAUUAACGGGUAACGGAGAAUUAGGGUUCGAUUCCGGAGAGGGAGCCUGAGAAAUGGCUACCACAUCCAAGGAAGGCAGCAGG
This 392-nucleotide ribosomal RNA is filed under the name uncultured Chrysophyceae. RNAcentral's name for it is "partial small subunit ribosomal RNA". It matches the Rfam family "Eukaryotic small subunit ribosomal RNA", at positions 30 to 432 of the family's 1831-position model. Lineage: Eukaryota; Chrysophyceae. The record is from RNAcentral.